This 497-nucleotide ribosomal RNA is filed under the name uncultured bacterium. RNAcentral's name for it is "partial 16S ribosomal RNA". It matches the Rfam family "Bacterial small subunit ribosomal RNA", at positions 28 to 507 of the family's 1533-position model. The record is from RNAcentral.
GAUGAACGCUGGCGGCGUGCCUAAUACAUGCAAGUCGAGCGAACGGACGAGAAGCUUGCUUCUCUGAUGUUAGCGGCGGACGGGUGAGUAACACGUGGAUAACCUACCUAUAAGACUGGGAUAACUUCGGGAAACCGUAGCUAAUACCGGAUAAUAUUUUGAACCGCAUGGUUCAAAAGUGAAAGACGGUCUUGCUGUCACUUAUAGAUGGAUCCGCGCUGCAUUAGCUAGUUGGUAAGUUAACGGCUUACCAAGGCAACGAUGCAUAGCCGACCUGAGAGGGUGGUCGGCCACACGGGAACUGAGCCACGGUCCAGACUCCUACGGGAGGCAGCAGUAGGGAAUCUUCCGCAAUGGGCGAAAGCCUGACGGAGCAACGCCGCGUGAGUGAUGAAGGUCUUCGGAUCGUAAAACUCUGUUAUUAGGGAAGAACAUAUGUGUAAGUAACUGUGCACAUCUUGACGGUACCUAAUCAGAAAGCCACGGCUAACUACGUG